This 439-nucleotide ribosomal RNA is filed under the name uncultured bacterium. RNAcentral's name for it is "partial 16S ribosomal RNA". It matches the Rfam family "Bacterial small subunit ribosomal RNA", at positions 339 to 795 of the family's 1533-position model. The record is from RNAcentral.
CUACGGGUGGCUCCAGUGGGGAAUAUUGGACAAUGGGCGCAAGCCUGAUCCAGCAAUGCCGCGUGAGUGAAGACGGCCUUAGGGUUGUAAAACUCUUUCGCUAGGGAAGAUAAUGACUGUACCUAGUAAAGAAGUCCCGGCUAACUCCGUGCCAGCAGCCGCGGUAAUACGGAGGGGACUAGCGUUGUUCGGAAUUACUGGGCGUAAAGAGUUCGUAGGCGGACUGACAAGGUAGAGGUGAAAUCCCAGGGCUCAACCCUGGAACUGCCUUUAAAACUGUCAGUCUAGAGACCGGAAGAGGUUAGGGGAAUACCUAGUGUAGAGGUGAAAUUCGUAGAUAUUAGGUGGAACACCAGUGGCGAAGGCGCCUAACUGGUCCGGUACUGACGCUGAGGAACGAAAGCGUGGGGAGCAAACAGGAUUAGAUACCCCGGUAGUC